CCUACGGGUGGCUGCAGUGGGGAAUCUUCCGCAAUGGACGAAAGUCUGACGGAGCAACGCCGCGUGAGUGAUGAAGGUCUUCGGAUUGUAAAGCUCUGUUAAUCGGGACGAAAGAGCCUAGUGUGAAUAAUGCUAGGAAGUGACGGUACCGGAAUAGGAAGCCACGGCUAACUACGUGCCAGCAGCCGCGGUAAUACGUAGGUGGCAAGCGUUGUCCGGAAUUAUUGGGCGUGGAUCGCGCGCAGUCGGUUAAAAGUUCGGGGCUUAACCCCGUGAUGGGAUGGAAACUACAGAUCUAGAGUAUCGGAGAGGAAAGUGGAAUUCCUAGUGUAGCGGUGAAAUGCGUAGAGAUUAGGAAGAACACCAGUGGCGAAGGCGACUUUCUGGACGAAAACUGACGCUGAGGCGCGAAAGCCAGGGGAGCGAACGGGAUUAGAUACCCUUGUAGUC
Molecule: ribosomal RNA, 450 nt
Filed under: uncultured bacterium
Lineage: Bacteria
Description: partial 16S ribosomal RNA
Rfam family: Bacterial small subunit ribosomal RNA
Source: RNAcentral